Stomoxys calcitrans (stable fly) is the source of this 304-nucleotide long non-coding RNA. RefSeq lists it as uncharacterized. The transcript is spliced from 3 exons. Lineage: Eukaryota; Metazoa; Arthropoda; Insecta; Diptera; Muscidae. The record is from RefSeq and is a predicted model, not a curated record.
UAACCAACCAGAACUAAUUGUAUUAUAUUUCGAUAGUAGUUGAAAAAAUUUAAGAAGUGCUUUAGUUUGCGGCAAAGUAUAUCGUGGUCAACGCAAUCAAAGGCUUUGGAAUGGUCAAACACAACCAGAAAUGCUAGAUAUGGCAAUAUUUAGAUUGGGUGUUAGUCGUUUCCAGUUUUUAACUUAGGAAUCGGCAUUAUCUUCUCUACUGGCUUGUGACUUUACAGAUAAGAAACUUCAAUACGACCCUUUGUUACCCAAAGAAUUCAAGGCUUUAAAAUUGAGGAAAAACUUGUGCCGGGAC